GGCCUAUUAGCUCAGUUGGUUAGAGCGUCGUGCUAAUAACGCGAAGGUCACAGGUUCGAGGCUUGUAUAGGCUA
This 74-nucleotide transfer RNA is filed under the name Zingiber officinale. It matches the Rfam family "tRNA". From Rfam's summary of the family: Transfer RNA (tRNA) molecules are approximately 80 nucleotides in length. Their secondary structure includes four short double-helical elements and three loops (D, anti-codon, and T loops). Further hydrogen bonds mediate the characteristic L-shaped molecular structure. tRNAs have two regions of fundamental functional importance: the anti-codon, which is responsible for specific mRNA codon recognition, and the 3' end, to which the tRNAs corresponding amino acid is attached (by aminoacyl-tRNA synthetases). tRNAs cope with the degeneracy of the genetic code in two manners: having more than one tRNA (with a specific anti-codon) for a particular amino acid; and 'wobble' base-pairing, i.e. permitting non-standard base-pairing at the 3rd anti-codon position. Lineage: Eukaryota; Viridiplantae; Streptophyta; Magnoliopsida; Zingiberales; Zingiberaceae. The record is from Rfam by way of RNAcentral.